UGUGUCCAUUCACAGCAUUUGAUGUGCUGAAUUCAAAGUGAAAGAUUGUGUCUUACCUGAAAACGGACCGAAUUGGGAGUGGAAAAGGCCCUUUCACCCACCACACCCCUCCCCGCCCUAAUACAUACAUUAUUUAUUGACACGGCCAUGAUUUUUAUGCAGAGGGACCAAAUAAUGUUUAUAGAAGGAGAUAGGGUUGGUGCAAUAUGUUAACUUUUCUACUUCUUCUCCUUUUUACUACAUGAAAUGACCAGUAAGCCCUUGUUCAAGAAUGGAUUCCAUCAUUCUUGUAUGUGGUGAAAUGUCAUUUUCCAGAAAUCUUAAGGUGGAAAAGUACUUUUAAGAGAGCUCUUAUUGGUGAAACAAUACCUUCCCGGCUGAAAUUAAGUUGAGGGAGAGGCAGACAGAAUGGAGCCAGGCAAUACUUUUUUCACUUUUUUUCUUCAGAUUUUUGCUUAAAAUUAUCAAAAUAAGUUUAUGCCCCUGGAGAUUUUUGGUGUAUAGUCGUUUAUUUAUUUUGGAAUUUGAGUUAUGUUCCGUAGUUGAUAUUCUUGGCAGAAACUAUAAAACUGUAUAGAAAUUGUCAAGAUUCUGAUUUUUUUGCAUUUUUACACUUUUUUUCACUAUUAAGAUUUAAUCUGAGUUCUAUGCAAUGGAAAUCUAUUCGUGUUGUUAUUGUUGUUGUUGUUAUUAUUAUUAUUUUU
Molecule: long non-coding RNA, 704 nt
Filed under: Olea europaea subsp. europaea
Lineage: Eukaryota; Viridiplantae; Streptophyta; Magnoliopsida; Lamiales; Oleaceae
Source: RNAcentral